UACGUAGGGACCAAGCGUUGUUCGGAUUCAUUGGGCGUAAAGGGUGUGUAGGUGGCGCGCUAAGUCGGGUGUGAAAUUUCGGAGCUUAACUCCGAAACUGCAUUCGAUACUGGCGUGCUUGAGGACUGGAGAGGAGACUGGAAUUCAUGGUGUAGCAGUGAAAUGCGUAGAGAUCAUGAGGAAGACCAGUGGCGAAGGCGGGUCUCUGGACAGUUCCUGACACUGAGACACGAAGGCCAGGGGAGCAAACGGG
Molecule: ribosomal RNA, 253 nt
Filed under: uncultured bacterium
Lineage: Bacteria
Description: partial 16S ribosomal RNA
Rfam family: Bacterial small subunit ribosomal RNA
Source: RNAcentral